This 116-nucleotide ribosomal RNA is filed under the name Pteropus alecto (black flying fox). The record is from RNAcentral. Lineage: Eukaryota; Metazoa; Chordata; Mammalia; Chiroptera; Pteropodidae.
GUCUAUGGCCAUGCCACCCUGAACAAGCCCGAUGUCUGAUCUCGGAAGCUAAGCAGGCUUGGGCCUGGUUAGUACUUGGAUGGGAGACCACCUAUGAAAACCAGGUGCUGUAUGGA